AUCCCUGUAGCGCAAUAGAUAGUGCGUUGAGCUUCUAACCCAAUGGCCGUGAGUUAGAAUCCUACCUGGGAUA
Non-coding RNA from Trichonephila inaurata madagascariensis, 73 nucleotides. The record is from the annotation of a GenBank genome assembly. NCBI's taxonomy places the organism in Eukaryota, Metazoa, Arthropoda, Arachnida, Araneae, Nephilidae.